UUUUUUAACAGCAAAGGGUUGUCAAACUAAAUAGUGACUUUGUGUAAUUUACUUUUAAUUUCUUUAUUUUUGAGGGCAUCUUUGCUGUGCAGCAUUUCUUUGCAUGUGCCUUUUGCACAGUACUGUAUAUUUGACUUUUUUCUAUUUCUUUUUUUCAUGGUUGUUUGAGCAGCUCUUGGUUUAAAUCAGACACACUCACAGUAAGCGUUAUUAUCAGUAGUACUGAGUUGUAGUUUCGUUGUCAAUAAUACAAACCAGUUUAAAAAAUAUAAAAUGUGUAAACACCUGUUAAUGGGACCAUGUAAUGAUGAUCACUGCUUUAAUGCUAACCACUACAUUUUAUGCUACAUAGUAAAAUGGCAUAGGGGCAAUUUCAUGAUGUGCAUUUAUACAUAUGUGAUAUUUGUACUGAACCUUUUUUAAGAACACAGCUAACAUUAAGGUGUGUGUGUGUGUGUGUGUGUGUGUGUGUGUGUAUAAACUGUUAUAACAUGACUUGCACCUCACUGCACUUUUGUAGUGAUGUAUAAAAAAUUAAAUUAAGAGACUGAAAGCACUGCAGACUUACAGAUUUAUUAUUAUUAUUAUUAUUAUUAUUAUUUUAAGUGAAUGCGAUUAGAGAGCCAUAAGAGAUUAUUACUUUGGCCAGAAUAUUUCAGGCUUUUUCAUAUGUUUUAUUAUUUUAUUUUAUUGUCCAUGUGCUGUUGCAGAGGUUGUGCUCAAACCACAGCUAGGUGGAAUUCCCUAACUAUCAUUAGAAAUAUUUAUGGGUGAAGUUGUGCUAUAAAUUGGGAAAAUGGGAAACAGGAUAUGAGAUUAAAUUCAUGGAUGCUGAGGCUGUUUGUAAGGGGUUGAGAAAGAGCACCUCCACACCAGAAACUUGAUCAAGUCCUUAUUUUGUUUAAAUAACAUCAUGAUUAGGGAUUCCUUGCAGUAUGUCCUUUCCUGUACUGAGGUUUUACUUUAUAAUACAAAUGCUGUUAACAGAAGAGCUUUUGCUGAUGUGGAUUAAGCACUGUGUUGUGACUGUAAAGCCUAAAUUUGUACACACACAUACACACUUUCUUACUGUAGUCAGGUUAUUGUCAUGUGGAGCACCCAUAGUGUCUUACACACAUACACCCUUUAUGUAUUUACAAACUUAACUGUGUAUGGCUCUAAAACUGACAACAACAUAAACACUGGUGCGCGCACACACACACACACACACACACACACACACACACACACACACACACUUUGUUUCUUGUUAGUUUGGAUUAAAUUCUCUAACUUGUAUUAUGUAAUCAAAAACUGCAUAUAAAAUCUCUAGAUUGGUGGUUCAGAUUUACUGACGGUGUGACAGUGGUGACUAAUUUGUGUUGCAUCAUAAGCAAAUUUCAUGUUCAAGUCAUUGCUGAAAAUUAAUAUUUUACAGAAGAGUAAUAAUGCUAGUAUACAGACACAGAGAUCAGUCAUCAUAUUAUACAAAAUAUUUCCUGACACUUUGCAGAGGUGCACUGAAGGAUCACUGUUCUGUUGAACCAGCAACGCAGGCAUGGAUGCAUAAUUACAAUAAACUGCUCACCAGGCCAGCAACAACUAGUAAUGAGUGGUUUUGGUGGCCAAAUCACUUAUUAUUUUUUACAUUUAUUUAUUUAUUGUUCACUAAAAUGAACAGAACUGCUGUGUAUUAUGUCUUAGAAAUGAACUUAAAACCAUGCAUAAUAUAAUACAAUUUAGUUUUUUAGUUUAAUUACAUGGUAGAAUUGAGAAAUAUUUUGAAAAAUAUAAUAAAUAGCAGCAGUGAAUAUUAGAGUAAGGACAUUAGGACAGUGCCUUGUUGUAGCACCACCACCACCACCUAAUUGCACUUGCAGUCUUUCUUGCUUUUCUGGUGUAACUGCUUGUUUGAUCUUGACUGUAUUUAAAACAUAUAUAAUGAAACCAGCAUGAAACAGUUCUUGGAAGCAUUUUGCAUGGUUUAACUGCACUAUAAUGUGGAAUUAUAAGGUAAUGGUUUGAUGCAUCUGUUUCUCAAUUUUUCCGUGAUUGUGCAGGUAAAUGCAUGAUGCAGCAUAGAUUUGUGGGAUGCACUGUUUUACCCGCUGUGCAGCCACCAAAGCCAUACACACAAUGCAAAAUGCAUUUUUGCAAUACAAUGCAAUUUUGCUCAACCGAAUGGAUUGAUCUGGAAUUAAUUUAGCUACGUGUUUUCUGUUGCUUUUAGACUGAGUGCAUCAACAUUGCCAAGUGUAUUUUUUCCCACCAAAUUUAAUAAGGCUGUGUUGGAACUUGGCUGGUGCAACAAUGUUGGAUUACUUCAGGUUGGCUAUACUGUUACACAGAUAACCCUUAUCAGUAAUAGAUAUCUAGUGGUUGGGGAAAAAGUCAAUGCUGGCGUAGUGAUCAGCCUAUAGGAACAGUAAAGGAUCGCUGUUGAAGGUCACAUUGUGGCUGGUUGAGCGGCCACGGCCUGGGGUGGUUAUCGAAGAUCGUGUUAUGCUUGCCUACUGGUCCUCAACAGUGUUGAGCCAUUCUCCUUAUGCUACAGGAGUUUGUUCACAAGCUGCUGCAGAGCUAAAAGUCCAAUUUAUGUUCAGCAUGCUGUUAAAAUAUUUUUUAAAUAUUAAAACUACUGUUACUACAAUGAUAUUUGCAGAGUAUCAAUACUGUGCAUGCUGACAAUAUAUAUAGUGUGGUAUGUUCACAGUGAGCAUUACAUGUAUUCAAAAAUAGGGGCAUAAUUUUGAAUGCGUCUGAACAUCCUAAUUAUGUGCAAUUCCACUACUAAAGUUUAUAUUAAUAUAAAUGUAUAUGCUGUUUAUCCUGUGUGCUGGCAUGUAGGUGCUGGAGAUGCAUGCUUACGUACUCAUUCAUGGAUCUUUCCUGCGUUUCAGAUGGAGCGCUGGAGUCCUGUGGGGAAGCAAAGAGGUGGGAGCUAACUAGAACUGGGGAUUCUCCGUCUGUGUGUGUGUGUGUGUGUGAGAGAGAGAGAGAGAGUGAUAGAGAGAGAGAGAUGCUCUUCAG
Molecule: long non-coding RNA, 3009 nt
Organism: Ictalurus punctatus (channel catfish)
Lineage: Eukaryota; Metazoa; Chordata; Actinopteri; Siluriformes; Ictaluridae
Source: Ensembl